AUUGAACGCUGGCGGCAUGCCUUACACAUGCAAGUCGAACGGCAGCACGGGGGCGAACCCUCGGUGGCGAGUGGCGAACGGGUGAGUAAUGCAUCGGAACGUGCCCAGUAGUGGGGAGUAACUAGUCGAAAGAAUUAGCUAAUACCGCAUACGACCUACGGGUGGAAAGACGGGGGAGUUCGCAAGAACCUCGCGCUAUCGGAGCGGCCGAUGUCUGAUUAGCUAGUUGGCGGGGAAAAGACCCACCAAGGCUUCGAUCAGUAGCUGGUCUGAGAGGACGACCAG
RNAcentral lists this ribosomal RNA (285 nucleotides) under uncultured bacterium. RNAcentral's name for it is "partial 16S ribosomal RNA". It matches the Rfam family "Bacterial small subunit ribosomal RNA", at positions 30 to 307 of the family's 1533-position model. The record is from RNAcentral.